This 69-nucleotide transfer RNA is filed under the name Ictidomys tridecemlineatus (thirteen-lined ground squirrel). Its description in RNAcentral is "Spermophilus tridecemlineatus (thirteen-lined ground squirrel) tRNA". It matches the Rfam family "tRNA". Rfam says of the family: Transfer RNA (tRNA) molecules are approximately 80 nucleotides in length. Their secondary structure includes four short double-helical elements and three loops (D, anti-codon, and T loops). The record is from Rfam by way of RNAcentral. Lineage: Eukaryota; Metazoa; Chordata; Mammalia; Rodentia; Sciuridae.
GGGGCUGGGGCUCAGUGGUAGAGUGCUUGCCUCGCAUGCAUGAGGCCGUGUGUUUGAUACUCAGCACCA